Molecule: ribosomal RNA, 1352 nt
Filed under: Bacillus subtilis
Lineage: Bacteria; Bacillati; Bacillota; Bacilli; Caryophanales; Bacillaceae
Description: bacterial SSU rRNA
Rfam family: Bacterial small subunit ribosomal RNA
Source: RNAcentral
AGAGUUUGAUCCUGGCUCGGACGAACGCUGGCGGCGUGCCUAAUACAUGCAAGUCGAGCGGACAGAUGGGAGCUGAUGUUAGCGGCGGACGGGUGAGUAACACGUGGGUAACCUGCCUGUAAGACUGGGAUAACUCCGGGAAACCGGGGCUAAUACCGGAUGGUUGUCUGAACCGCAUGGUUCAGACAUAUGGCUUCGGCUACCACUUACAGAUGGACCCGCGGCUUGGUGAGGUAACGGCUCACCAAGGCGACGAUGCGUAGCCGACCUGAGAGGGUGAUCGGCCACACUGGGACUGAGACACGGCCCAGACUCCUACGGGAGGCAGCAGUAGGGAAUCUUCCGCAAUGGACAAAGUCUGACGGAGCAACGCCGCGUGAAGGUUUUCGGAUCCUCUGUUGUUAGGGAAGAACAAGUGCCGUUCAAAUAGGGCGGCACCUUGACGGUACCUAACCAGAAAGCCACGGCUAACUACGUUAAUACGUAGGUGGCAAGCGUUGUCCGGAAUUAUUGGGCGUAAAGGGCUCGCAGGCGGUUUCUUAAGUCUGAUGUGAAAGCCCCCGGCUCAACCGGGGAGGGUCAUUGGAAACUGGGGAACUUGAGUGCAGAAGAGGUUCCACGUGUAGCGGUGAAAUGCGUAGAGAUGUGGAGGAACACCAGUGGCGAAGGCGACUCUCUGGUCUGCAACUGACGCUGAGGAGCGAAAGCGUGGGGAGCGGGAUUAGAUACCCUGGUAGUCAGUGCUAAGUGUUAGGGGGUUUCCGCCCCUUAGUGCUGCAGCUAACGCAUUAAGCACUCCGCCUGGGGAGUACGGUCGCAAGACUGAAACUCAAAGGAAGCCCGCACAAGCGGUGGAGCAUGUGGUUUAAUUCGAAGCAACGCGAAGAACCUUACCAGGUCUUGACAUCCUCUGACAAUCCUAGAGAUAGGGCGUCCCCUUCGGGGGACAGGUGGUGCAUGGUUGUCGUCAGCUCGUGUCGUGAGAUGUUGGGUUAAGUCCCGCAACGAGCGCAACCCUAGUUGCCAGCAUUCAGUUGGGCACUCGGUGACAAACCGGAGGAAGGUGGGGAUGACGUCAAAUCAUCAUGCCCCUUAUGACCUGGGCUACACACGUGCUACAAUGGACAGAACAAAGGGCAGCGAAACCGCGAGGUUAAGCCAAUCCCACAAAUCUGUUCUCGUCUGCAACUCGACUGCGUGAAGCUGGAAUCGCUAGUAAUCGCGGAUCAGCAUGCCGCGGUGGUUCCCGGGCCUUGUACACACCGCCCGUCACACCACGAGAGCGAAGUCGGUGAGGUAACCUUUAUGGAGCCAGCCGCCGAAGGUGGGACAGAUGAUUGGGGUGAAGUCGU